AGUGAACGCUGGCAGUAGGCCUAACACAUGCCAGUCGAACGGCAGCACAGUAAGAGCUUGCUCUUACGGGUGGCGAGUGGCGGACGGGUGAGGAAUACAUCGGAAUCUACUUUUUCGUGGGGGAUAACGUAGGGAAACUUACGCUAAUACCGCAUACGACCUACGGGUGAAAGCAGGGGAUCUUCGGACCUUGCGCGAUUGAAUGAGCCGAUGUCGGAUUAGCUAGUUGGCGGGGUAAAGGCCCACCAAGGCGACGAUCCGUAGCUGGUCUGAGAGGAUGAUCAGCCACACUGGAACUGAGACACGGUCCAGACUCCUACGGGAGGCAGCAGUGGGGAAUAUUGGACAAUGGGCGCAAGCCUGAUCCAGCCAUACCGCGUGGGUGAAGAAGGCCUUCGGGUUGUAAAGCCCUUUUGUUGGGAAAGAAAAGCAGCAGGUUAAUACCCCGCUGUUCUGACGGUACCCAAAGAAUAAGCACCGGCUAACUUCGUG
This 492-nucleotide ribosomal RNA is filed under the name uncultured bacterium. RNAcentral's name for it is "partial 16S ribosomal RNA". It matches the Rfam family "Bacterial small subunit ribosomal RNA", at positions 29 to 507 of the family's 1533-position model. The record is from RNAcentral.